Molecule: non-coding RNA, 427 nt
Organism: Pelobates cultripes (western spadefoot toad)
Lineage: Eukaryota; Metazoa; Chordata; Amphibia; Anura; Pelobatidae
Source: the annotation of a GenBank genome assembly
UUCUCUCCAGAGUUUCUAACAUAAUCUUGGGAAUUAGUGGCUAACACCUGGAGGGGACAGGUUCCACAAACGGUCAACUAUGUAAGAAGAGAGGUCCACCAGAUGGUUGAGAAGCUUUAGUCACUAUAAGCACUAUUUGCAUUGAGCGUGUUGGUGGAAUGUUGAGAGGGAAAAACUAUGCAUUCACUGUGAAGCUUUAAAUUCAAAAGAUGUGGUUUGCAGGUUACAAUUAGGAGAACAAUAUAAUUGGGCAACAUCCAUCUCCUAUAUCCCACAGGCAUGCUUCUCCCAUGCCAAGAGCAGAAUUAAUCACAAGGCAGCCGCCUAGGAUACAGAGGUUGGACAGGGGCCCCGGAACCAUGAAUUUGCUUGUCAUACUUAACCAUCCUUAUGUGAAGAAUGAAUGGGGGGAGUAACUGGUAACCUG